UACCAGCACCCCGAGUGGUCGGGACGAUUAUUGGGCCUAAAGCCUCCGUAGCCGGUUCUGCAAGUCCCCCGUUAAAUCCAGCUGCUCAACAGAUGGGCCGCGGAGGAUACUACAGAGCUAGGAGGCAGGAGAGGCAAGCGGUACUCAGUGGGUAGGGGUAAAAUCCGUUGAUCCAUUGAAGACCACCAGUGGCGAAGGCGGCUUGCCAGAAUGCGCUCGACGGUGAGGGAUGAAAGCUGGGGGAGCAAACCGG
RNAcentral lists this ribosomal RNA (253 nucleotides) under uncultured bacterium. RNAcentral describes it as "partial 16S ribosomal RNA". It matches the Rfam family "Archaeal small subunit ribosomal RNA", at positions 474 to 727 of the family's 1478-position model. The record is from RNAcentral.